GACAGAGGUGCCGAGCGUUAGGCGGAAUCACUGGGCUUAAAGCGUGUGUAGGCGGGUCGUUAAGUGUCUUGUGAAAUCCCACCGCUCAACGGUGGAACUGCUGGGCAUACUGGCGAUCUUGAGCCACCUAGGGGCAGACGGAACAAGCGGUGGAGCGGUGAAAUGCGUAGAUAUCGCUUUGAACGCCGACGGUGAAAACAGUCUGCUGGGGGUGUGCUGACGCUGAGACACGAAAGCCAGGGGAGCGAACGGG
This 253-nucleotide ribosomal RNA is filed under the name uncultured bacterium. RNAcentral's name for it is "partial 16S ribosomal RNA". It matches the Rfam family "Bacterial small subunit ribosomal RNA", at positions 524 to 776 of the family's 1533-position model. The record is from RNAcentral.